RNAcentral lists this transfer RNA (78 nucleotides) under Magnetococcales bacterium. Its description in RNAcentral is "tRNA-Cys". It matches the Rfam family "tRNA". From Rfam's summary of the family: Transfer RNA (tRNA) molecules are approximately 80 nucleotides in length. Lineage: Bacteria; Pseudomonadati; Pseudomonadota; Magnetococcia; Magnetococcales. The record is from RNAcentral.
GGCCGGGUGGCGAAGUGGCCUAACGCGGAGGUCUGCAAAACCUUUAUUCCGUGGGUUCAAAUCCCACCCCGGCCUCCA